Molecule: unclassified non-coding RNA, 217 nt
Filed under: Hevea brasiliensis (rubber tree)
Lineage: Eukaryota; Viridiplantae; Streptophyta; Magnoliopsida; Malpighiales; Euphorbiaceae
Source: RNAcentral
CCCAAUAAGAACACAUGAACCACACUUUCUCCAAGAGAAUGGGCAAGUGAGUAAGAAGGAUAAUAAGAACCAUUGCAUUUCACUUCGGAUUCCUAAGGACAAUGAUAACAGAAUCUCCUCGGAGGAACAUUUUACUGAUGAACCUAUCUUUGUUGAUUGGUUGAGCUUUCUUCUUGCCUUUUCCAGUUUUUGGCACCUCAGUCCACAUCUCCCUGAC